RNAcentral lists this ribosomal RNA (392 nucleotides) under uncultured soil bacterium. Its description in RNAcentral is "bacterial SSU rRNA". It matches the Rfam family "Bacterial small subunit ribosomal RNA", at positions 26 to 415 of the family's 1533-position model. The record is from RNAcentral.
AGAGUGAACGCUGGCGGUAGGCCUAACACAUGCAAGUCGAACGGCAGCACGGUAAGAGCUUGCUCUUAUGGGUGGCGAGUGGCGGACGGGUGAGGAAUACAUCGGAAUCUACCUUUUGGUGGGGGAUAACGUAGGGAAACUUACGCUAAUACCGCAUACGCCCUUCGGGGGAAAGCCGGGGACCAGCAAUGGCCUGGCGCUGAUAGAUGAGCCGAUGUCGGAUUAGCUAGUUGGUGAGGUAAUGGCUCACCAAGGCGACGAUCCGUAGCUGGUCUGAGAGGAUGAUCAGCCACACUGGAACUGAGACACGGUCAGACUCUACGGGAGCAGCAGUGGGAAUCUGCGCAAGUGGCGAAGCCUGACGCGAGCCAUGCCGCGUGAUGAGUGAAGUC